UUAUAAUUGCGUUAGGGAUUGAAGCGACAUCCUUUUAUAAUCCUGUCACCCCGAGCGAAGUCGAAGGGUUUCUGACAGGUUAUAAAAGAUAUAGCCGAAAGCCCGACCCUGA
This 112-nucleotide small RNA is filed under the name Aquimarina sp. MAR_2010_214. RNAcentral describes it as "Flavo-1 RNA". It matches the Rfam family "Flavo-1 RNA". Lineage: Bacteria; Pseudomonadati; Bacteroidota; Flavobacteriia; Flavobacteriales; Flavobacteriaceae. The record is from RNAcentral.